Molecule: ribosomal RNA, 484 nt
Filed under: uncultured bacterium
Lineage: Bacteria
Description: partial 16S ribosomal RNA
Rfam family: Bacterial small subunit ribosomal RNA
Source: RNAcentral
AUUGAACGCUGGCGGCAGGCCUAACACAUGCAAGUCGAGCGGAUGAAGGGAGCUUGCUCCUGGAUUCAGCGGCGGACGGGUGAGUAAUGCCUAGGAAUCUGCCUGGUAGUGGGGGAUAACGUCCGGAAACGGGCGCUAAUACCGCAUACGUCCUGAGGGAGAAAGUGGGGGAUCUUCGGACCUCACGCUAUCAGAUGAGCCUAGGUCGGAUUAGCUAGUUGGUGGGGUAAAGGCCUACCAAGGCGACGAUCCGUAACUGGUCUGAGAGGAUGAUCAGUCACACUGGAACUGAGACACGGUACAGACUCCUACGGGAGGCAGCAGUGGGGAAUAUGGGACAAUGGGCGAAAGCCUGAUCCAGCCAUGCCGCGUGUGUGAAGAAGGUCUUCGGAUUGUAAAGCACUUUAAGUUGGGAGGAAGGGCAGUAAGUUAAUACCUUGCUGUUUUGACGUUACCAACAGAAUAAGCACCGGCUAACUUCGUG